Molecule: non-coding RNA, 539 nt
Organism: Chrysemys picta bellii (western painted turtle)
Lineage: Eukaryota; Metazoa; Chordata; Testudines; Emydidae
Source: RefSeq, a predicted model, not a curated record
CUCAGCUCAGCAGUUCUGGGCUCUACCCUCUCAGCUCCUUCCCUGAACUGCUUCGUGGUCUCCACCCACCCCCACAACCCACCGCUUUCUCUGGUAGUACCAGCAGCACCAAACCAACUCCUUCUUCUCAGGGCCAGGGAGAGACUGCAGCUACAGAGAGGGCUGUGCUGAGUGGCCAGCUGAAGUGCUGCCGCGGCGCAGCUGCAGCGGUUCCAUGUAGAGAUCGGUGAGGCCGGACUUGACUCCGGUGUGACUUGAGGGGCUCAGAAUUCGCUCUGUUUUCCUUCAGAUGUGACGGCGAAUAAGGAAAUAAACCCUGUUACCUGAUCACAGAUCCUGGGUUGUCUGUAACCCUGGGACUGGCAUAAGGAAUCCAGUCUCACAUGGAUCAUGAGUAUGAUUGAAAUCCCGAGUCUUCAGAUCCACAGCCAAGACCUGUUCUGCUUAACAGUUCCUCCUUCUAUUGGUGUUGUCCUGGAAAUGAGCUGCUAUGUCCCUGCUACCUCUAUUUUACAGCUGUUGUGGCCUCCCAAGAGAUG